UGAGGGGAGGCUGCGUCUGUCCGCUCUCCCACACACACACAGAGUCGCGCCCCGCCUCUCGUUCACCGCACGCGACGACCCUCCCGCACCGCACGCGACGACCCUCCCGCACCGCACGCGACGACCCUCCCGCACCACACACACCAUUCCGUAAACACAGAAAAAAUAUCACGUCUAGUUUAUCGAUUCUCAGAUGAUAAAACACACAAACAUUUUUAUACAGAAACAGAAGUGUAAUGUUUGUUAAUUUAUAAACAGUAUAUUAACAUCGUGUGUGCGUAUUGUAAAAAGAUCGUAUUGUAAAAGUGAUUUCUGAUGUAUUUAUGAUUUUGUUAAUGUUGGAAAUUAUACAGAUAUUCGCCUCUGAUUUUAAGAGUACUUGAUAUAAACUUUUUAUAUAUGUUUUUUAAAAGUGGUAUAUUGUAAUUCGAUUGUAAAUAAAAACAGUGUAUCGUAAAUCAAACCAGUAACACAAAACACAGAAAUUAAUGUUUUUUCUCUCAUGGCUAUCGUAAAAAAAAAAUAAUUUAAUUAAGAAUACAUUUACCAUCCGUGUAUCGUAAUAUAAAGUAUCAUAAGUGACUCUCGACUCUACGAUCACUUACACCAACAGAGUGCAUCGUGUCUUCACCUCCAGGAUUCACUUAUUAUGUGUCCAAGACAGGUGAGUGCGUUAACAGGUAAGAGCAGAAAGUGUCUGAAACAAUAAACAAUCGAAUUAAUUAACAAAAAAGUGUACGAAACAAAUACUUCCAUAAAAACAUCAAUAACAACAAGAGAAAAGUGUCAGAAACAAAUAAACUCUAAUUAACAAAGAAAUAAAAAAGUGUUUGAAACAAUGUAAAAAAAAAUAUAUCUUCAGGAAAUUAUAAAAAAAAUACAUCAAGAAUAUAUCCAUUACAAAUACAACCCAAGUGUCAAGUCACCUAACAACAACAACAACAGUAACAACCACAACAACCACAACAACCACAACCAGAUCGUGUGGUUCCUCAGACAAGAAACUAGAGCCAUGAUUAUCGCCUCUUGAUAAACUAACGAUGUGACGUCAACGCGGUGUAGAGUUAACAGUACACUGGAGG
Molecule: long non-coding RNA, 1082 nt
Organism: Homarus americanus (American lobster)
Lineage: Eukaryota; Metazoa; Arthropoda; Malacostraca; Decapoda; Nephropidae
Exons: 3
Source: RefSeq, a predicted model, not a curated record